This 456-nucleotide ribosomal RNA is filed under the name uncultured bacterium. RNAcentral's name for it is "bacterial SSU rRNA". It matches the Rfam family "Bacterial small subunit ribosomal RNA", at positions 29 to 524 of the family's 1533-position model. The record is from RNAcentral.
AACGAACGCUGGCGGCAGGCUUAACACAUGCAAGUCGAACGGGCGCGAGCAAUCGCGUCAGUGGCAGACGGGUGAGUAACACGUGGGAACCUUCCUUAAGGUACGGGACAACUCAGGGAAACUUGAGCUAAUACCGUAUACGUCCGAGAGGAGAAAGAUUUAUCGCCUUUAGACGGGCCCGCGUCGGAUUAGCUAGUUGGUGGGGUAACGGCCUACCAAGGCGACGAUCCGUAGCUGAUCUGAGAGGAUGAUCAGCCACACUGGGACUGAGACACGGCCCAGACUCCUACGGGAGGCAGCAGUGGGGAAUCUUGGACAAUGGGCGCAAGCCUGAUCCAGCCAUGCCGCGUGAGUGAAGAAGGCCUUAGGGUUGUAAAGCUCUUUUGUCCAGGGACGAUAAUGACGGGUACCUGGAGAAUAAGCCCCGGCAAACUUCGUGCCAGCCGCCGCAGUAAU